RNAcentral lists this transfer RNA (77 nucleotides) under Ignavibacteria bacterium GWF2_33_9. Its description in RNAcentral is "tRNA-Pro". It matches the Rfam family "tRNA". Rfam says of the family: Transfer RNA (tRNA) molecules are approximately 80 nucleotides in length. Their secondary structure includes four short double-helical elements and three loops (D, anti-codon, and T loops). Lineage: Bacteria; Pseudomonadati; Ignavibacteriota; Ignavibacteria. The record is from RNAcentral.
CGGAGCGUAGCGCAGCCCGGUAGCGCAUCUGGUUUGGGACCAGAGGGUCGGAGGUUCGAAUCCUCUCGCUCCGACUA